Molecule: RNA transcript, 1341 nt
Organism: Rhododendron vialii
Lineage: Eukaryota; Viridiplantae; Streptophyta; Magnoliopsida; Ericales; Ericaceae
Exons: 2
Source: RefSeq, a predicted model, not a curated record
GUGAUUCCCAUCAUUCAUCAUGACAGAAGCUAGGAAAAGCAGCAACAAGUCCAAUACAUCGGAGGAAUUAAGAGUAGAUGAUCCCUUCUACAUCUCUCCUUUUGAUAGUCCAACGGCUGUAUUGGUAUCGCCUCCUCUGAAUGGAGACAAUUAUGGGUCAUGGCUCCGCGCAAUUACCAUGGCUUUAAGAGCCAAAAACAAAGUUGGGUUUGUGGAUGGAACCAUAGAAAAACCUAGGGAGGACAAAGAAAAGGAAGUAUCCAGGUGGGAAAGAUGCAAUGAUCUAGUUGCAUCAUGGAUUCUCAAUUCUGUCUCUGAUGAAAUUCGGAGUAGCAUUCUCAAUGCCCACACUGCAAGAGCCAUAUGGAUUGACUUGUCUGACCGAUUUUUGCAGUCCAAUGCUCCUCAAAUUUAUCAACUAAAGCAAUCCAUAUCAGCACUCAAACAAGAACUAUUAGUUUCGGCUUAUUUUACGAAACUCAAAUCGCUUUGGGAUGAGUUGAAUUCACUCCAAGCUUUCCAACCAUGUACGUGUGGAAGUGGAAAGUUUUUCUCUGAAUGGCUCCAACAAGAUAGGGCAAUGGAAUUUUUACAGGGUCUUCAUGAGCGUUUUGGUCCACUUCGAAGUCAAAUCUUAUUGAUGGAGCCUUUACCGAAUGCAGCGAAGAUAUAUUCUCUUGCUCGACAAGAAGAGAAACAACAAGAGAUUCAAUCUUUAUCGACUCCUAUUCCAGAUGUUGCAGCACUUAACAUCACAGCAGGUCAAAUAACUACAAUUCUAAUCGACUGAUGGAUGGUCGAAAUAGCCAUAAUACAGGUGGAGGAAAUCGUCCACAUCUAAGUAGUGGAAAUCGACCAUAUUCUGGUGACGGAAAUAACUUCUAUUCUGGUGGUGGAAAUCGCUCAAAUCCCGAUGGUGGAAAUCGCACAUAUACUGGUGGUGGAAGCAAUUCAUCCGGCGGCGGAUAUAACUCAUAUUCCAGUGGUGGAAAUAAUUCUAACCGCAAGGUUAAAUAUCAUUGCGACCAUUGUGACAAGGAUGGUCACUCCACGGAGCGUUGCUAUAAAAUCAUUGGGUAUCCUCCAAAGCGUUCAGAGUUCUCUAAUCUUUCCACUAAAUCUGUGAACAAAACGAGUCCUGCUGUUGUAACUCAAGAGCAAUAUGACAAGUUAUUAGCGAUGCUCUCCUCAGGUAAUAUCCACCACAAUUCCAACUUAGCAGGACCUAUCAACGAGGAGGACGAUUGGACGGGGGAAUAUCCAUGAGGGGCUCUAUUACUAUCAGGCAUCACAAACGGCUUUGGCGGUGGUCACGCCCUCCUCUUUCGACCUUUGGCAUUG